UUGAGUUUUACAGGGUUUAUCUCCCACCCUUUGGGGUGCAUAUUUCUUACCAAAGCCUCCAAUCUAUUUGCUACCUCUUGCUCGUGUGUAUGGAUCACCAUGAUGGUGCUGAUUUGGUGGAUUAAUGUGAUGUUCUGUGGAAUGUCCAACUGGUCUCAUUCCCUUGUACUAUGGGAUGACAGAGGGUAGGGCAAUUAAUGCAGCCCUGGGGACAGACUUUAAGUGAACGUAAUGUGCCUCUGAUCCUUCUUCCAGCUAGAAAUGAAAGAGAACGCAGGUUUACCAGCACACUCCUGGACAGGACACUUGGUCAGCACCAAUACUUGCAAUCCCUCCCUCAUUCCAACCUCUAACCACUGCCUCCUAUCCUGAUAAUAUCCUGCUUUCUAUUAAUUACUUGACCUACAAUCUAUUUAUGUGACUAACGUUUCACGAUUUCUCUCCAUUUGCAUGUCAUCACUUCAUUCCUUGCCCAGCUUAAAUGGUUUCAGCAUUAUAUCAGUCCUUGCAUAUACCCUUGAUAUCCUUGUCUUUCUUCUAACUCUGCCUUCUGCACACCUGCUUUAUGCACCAGAACAUGACUCUAGAGAAUCAUGGAACAUGUUGAAAUUCUCACUUUAAAUUCAUAAUCACUAAUCCCAAGCUGGACCUUAGUGCUGCCCAGAAAUCCUACCACCUUCAAUUGUAUUAAUAUUUUCACUCUCCUUAUCCUCUUCCUCCAAAUUUAUAGCACUUUCCCCCUUCUUAUUCUCCUUUUUUCACUUCACUGAGAAAAAAAAAAGCUAGCAGAAGAGAAUUCUGUCAUCUCCCAUCCACACAUCUACUCACUUACUGGAUCUGGAUCCUAUACCAGAUUCCAUCCCCUUUCAUUACCGCAAGAUGUUAUGUAAGCCUCCCUUCUCUUCUGCUUCAUCAUUCCAGUCUUCUUUCUUCUAGACCAUUCUUUUUGUUGUUGUUGUUGUUGUUGUUGUUUUUAAAAGAAUCAUUGAAAUAGCUGUCUGUAUUGUUUUCCUAUCUU
This 1018-nucleotide long non-coding RNA is filed under the name Homo sapiens (human). RNAcentral's name for it is "non-protein coding lnc-PRKAR1A-6:1". The record is from RNAcentral. Lineage: Eukaryota; Metazoa; Chordata; Mammalia; Primates; Hominidae.